Nomascus leucogenys (northern white-cheeked gibbon) is the source of this 902-nucleotide RNA transcript. It is a transcript of the gene named septin-7-like, with no coding region annotated. The record is from RefSeq and is a predicted model, not a curated record. NCBI's taxonomy places the organism in Eukaryota, Metazoa, Chordata, Mammalia, Primates, Hylobatidae. The transcript has 2 exons.
GAUUUCUAGGGUGUGUUUUCUCCCUGUGUCCUUCCCGAAUCUUGUAACUGUUGCUCCUCAGUUUGUGUGUCUGCACAUGUACACGCAAGGAUUUUUCUGAUGAAUGUGCAGGGAGCAGUGGUGUACUUAGUUUUACUUUACUUUUGCCAGAUUCUACUAAAAAUUUUAGGUGAGUUUAGCCCUGUUUAUUCAACUAAAUAAGACACUUGGGGAUUUAUAUUUAAAGGAAAAAUCUCAGUCAUUGUAAAUAAAUGACCUACAGUCAUUAUCGUGGAAAUCAAUCCGAGAAAUCCCUUUCUGGAGUUUUACAUCUUUUUUGGAACUCUUUUGGUAUGAUAGCUAUAUGACUUUAACACUUCUGAAGUAAUUGGACUUGGUGUUUAUAUAUCAACUUUACAGUUUAAAAAAAAAGACCAGCAUAGUACUUUGAUUUUAGAUUAUAAUUUUGCAUCAUUAAAAAACAGUAAAGGAUCUGGAAACAAGGGGACAUAUAGGAAUCUAAGAAGCAUGUAAUAAACAUAAGACUAAUGGACUAAUUAUUAAUGUACUAAUUAUGUAUGGUGCUCUUUGGCUGACUACUUCUUCCAUUUUACAUAAUGAAAGAAAUCCAAGAACAUAAAAUUAAAAUAUAUGAAUUUCCAGAAACAGAUGAUGAAGAAGAAAAUAAACUUGUUAAAAAGAUAAAGUACCGUUUACCUCUUGCUGUGGUGGGUAGUAAUACUAUCAUUGAAGUUAAUGGCAAAAGGGUCAGAGGAAGGCAGUAUCCUUGGAAUGUUGCUGAAGGUAAGGUUUUCUUCAGUGAAUGACUUUCUAUAAGAUCUCAAGACUGAUUAAAAAUUAGUAUUUAUAGUAAGUAGUAUGGUAUGCAUACUGUAUUGAUAUAGCCUAUAUUUCAAGGACAG